GACAGGGGCAGGUUGGUCUCACAGACAGGGGCAGGUUGGUCUCACAGACAGGGGCAGGUUGGUCUCACAGACAGGGGCAGGUUGGUCUCUCCACCACCACGGUUACCUUCUGUAAUAGAACAAACAUGCCUUUCUAACAUGUAGAGUCACUGUGAGUGUCAUCACAGAGACCAUUUUCAUGUUUUAUCAAUACUAACAGCAGAAUGUAUCUAUUUUUACGAUGUCAGGGGUGUAAUAGGCAUUGUGCAAUAGUAAGUAAGUAAGCCUUGUCCGAUGUGUAAUGUGUAAGGGGUUAAAUAGUAAGUAAGCCUUGUCCAAUGUGUAGUGUAUAAGGGGUUAAAUAGUAAGUAAGCCUUGUCCGAUGUGUAGUGUGUAAGGGGUUAAAUAGUAAAUAUGCCUUGUGCGAGCCAGAACAGCCCAUAGGUGCAAUAGGCAAUGUAUGAAUUCUGUGUAUGAGAUGUUAUAUCUGUUUUCAUACAGAUGACAUCAGUUGUUUGCUCAAGACUAUUUCCUGUUGUAAUGGGGGCUAGAACAUUUAUCUUGUCUAAUGUCCAGGAGGUGGCAGCAAUGAUUCACGUUGAUAUAAAGUUAACAGUUCAUAAAUAAGCAUGCGAUGUUAUUGCAAACUACAGUAUCACUACGAUGUCGAUUAGGGCAGCCCCCCGCACCUCUCUGAUGGGGUUAAAUGCAGAAUAUUUAGGUUGAAUGYAUUCAGUUGUUCAACUGACCAGGUAUCCCCUUUCCCUUUCMAAUAACCUGUUGUGAAAUGUCACAGUUGUGUUUGGUAAUAUCUCCACAAGGGCUGUUUAGUGGCCAGAAGAUGAUGUCACCCAGUUGUUUUAGUAUUAUUAUGUUAUUAUAGCAGAACAAAGAAGUGGUGGCGGGGCAUAUACUGUUGCAUGUUUUCUCGUGCUGGGUUGACAUGAAUAAAGAGAUCAGCUCAUAAAAGUGAAACAUCCAGUUUGUGUCUCCAAUUCACUCAGCCCUUUCUCCUCUGUGCUGGUCACAUGAUGACCAUGUUGUUGGAUAGUGAUCCUAGUUACUGGAGGAAGCUUGUGGUGAAAUUGUUCUGCAACCGAACAAUGAUGAUGAUGAUGGUCUAUGAUGUUGAAAYGUCUCCUCCUCCACAGUGUGAGCAGCUCUGAUAAGAACCAGGCCUACUCCUCCCAGGACCAGUCGGCAGAGUGGUCAGACGAUGAGCAGGCCGCGCCAAACUCCGGCUCAGACACCAAUGGGGGUGGGGCCAACCCCUUUGAGGAGGAGUCAGCGAAGGGCGUACGGGUGAAGGCGCUGUACGACUACGACGGGCAGGAACAGGACGAACUCACCUUUAAAGCAGAAAACAAACAAUAGCAACAUCCACGGUCCUGGCAUGCAUAUGAACUGGCAUCAGUUUGAGGAGACGAGCUAACUAAACUAGAAGACGAGGAUGAGCAGGGCUGGUGUAAAGGCCUGUUGGACAGUGGCAAGUUGGGUUUAUAUCCUGCUAAUUACGUAGAGCCCAUCUAGUUGGGUUCAUAUCCUGCUAAUUACGUAGAGACCAUUUUGUUGGGCUUAUAUCCUGCUAAUUACGUAGAGCACAUCUAGUUGCUUGGGUCACCCAGACUGAACCGUCCAAUCAUACUGCACAUUGCCAGAGACUUCAAAGCAAUGCUUCCCUGUUCCCCCUCUUUGCCUGACCAACCAACACACUGACUGAACAGUCUUUAUUUAAACAAUCCCCUAGGACCCACAUCAGAGAAACCCAGCACCAACAUAACCAACACAUAUCAGCUACAACACUGGGAUUGUUACCACAGUCAAACCAUGGCAGUAUGUGUGUACCAACAACACCACAACACCUACGAGCGUAGGAAAAUUAUUCUGCCGUGUUCUAUUCCAAUGUUGUGCUGUGGUUAUGAUGACAUUUACCUGGCAGUAUGUAAGUAUGUUCCCUCGUAACACUAGUGAUAUGGUAUAGUCAAUGGUGCCUGCAUAGCCAGAAUAAGCUAUGCACUGUGCAUUGUAAAUAUUAGCAGAUUCUUUUUUUUUUUUGCAAUCUGGAUGCUAUGCGAAACUGUACAGUCCUGUUUUUUUUUUCAUCUGUCAUUCCAUGUAAGGUUUUAAAUAUGCUGUACAGUACAAAAGAUUCUCACUGUUUUUCUAUCUUUUCUAUGUGAGUUGCUCCUGUGUUGAGUGUUAUGCAGUGUUUGGUGUUUUCCCCCUGAAGUCCCCCUGAGCAACAGCAGCAGCAUGUCCUACUGGAUCACAAUAAUGACAUUUAGCUGCAAGACCCUUGACAAAUCACUGUCGAGCGGAGCAGAGCAGUUCUACACUGUUGAGCCUUGUUCAKUGUAACGGUAUACAACAGUGUUUCUCUACCCACCGUUGUACCAGGGACUGGUAAGCUAUGGUUCCUUGGAUGACUGUUUAUGUUGAAAACCUGCUCUCAAGAUCAGAUGAAAUCGGUGUCAGUCAGAUAAACAUCUGAUGGACCACUCAGCAAUGUCCCAGGGACCGGUGCCCGCCGGACCCAGGAUCCUGGGAAUGAGAAACACUGGUAUAGAAUACAUACUUUCCCCAAGGCAGCAUUGAGUGUACUUGUAGUACAUCUGACCAUGUUCCUCAUGUGCCUGUAAUUUCCUGUGUAAUUUCCUGACCUCACUGCUUUCUGGACUCAUCACUUCUAGUACCUCUGACCAUGUGUUGGGUUUAGGUGUGAGAGCAUGUGAACAACAACCCCUUCCUUUUUUCUGGUUACAUGUUUACAACAGUGGCUUUUUCGAAGGGUCAGGGUUCAAACAUUAAUUAGCCUACGUGGGCCUCCACAAAGGUUCAGCACAAAUACAAAAUUGAUCCAACACCACCCUACUCCAUCAAUGGUGACACGGGAAUAGGCUUGUCAUCAGAAAWGGACUGUCGCUGACCAAAUUAAAGGAGCCAAAGAAAUGUGGGAAUAUGAGCGAAUUCUGGGAAUUUGCUGUAUGUAUGAUCACAUUUACAGUAACAACCCAACGAGAGCCCCACUUCCCCAUGGGAAAUACUAGAUCCUGUCUCCUCUGGCUCAACACUGUAACCAUAACAACUGUUUUUGUUGCCAUGGCUUCAGUUUAUUAUGCGACUUCUAUGUCCUGUCUUUUUUAUGAAUGAAAAUGAUAAGUCACCUUUAAUGUGUCCCAGCUCAGUCUCCACCUUGCUAUCUCUGAUCUAACAGUCAUUGCAUGCUCGAUCACCAUAAAUAAGCAUUGAAUUCUACUGUGAGCUUACUGUACAAAUUGACCAAACUUUGUUUAUGUUUUUAUUCUGUCAGUUGAAUCCUAAACAUAAUCUCAUGAAAACUGAUGCCAAUGAUUUUGGUCUCUUAACUGGCAAAAUGUUCAAUUUUCAAUGUUUUUUAACAUCUCCAAAUAAUUGGGAGAAUUUGAAUCUAUACAACACACAAUCCUGUUAAAUCUUAAUCCUUAUAUUUUGAGCUAGUGAAUCAAACAGAAUCUUCAGCAGAGAUUAUACUUGUAAUAUGUGUGACUGUUAUAUGACACAGCUGUAGUGUUCGUUUCCUUAGCAACCCUGGGAGGUAGUGAAGGCUAUAAUAGCCUGACUGCUCUCUCAACACAAGAGGUGUGUACUCUUACUGACAUGGGGACAAAAAGCUACAGUACAAAGUGCACUGCAAAAAAAGGCAGAAAGCGGAGCCUCCACUGAAAUAUUGAUGAGGAAACUGAAUUUUCUGCUGCUAGAAGUUUAUUCUGGAGAUCUGGGAUAUAUGGCUGUCGGGGGAAAUUUUGGGACUGCACACAUCCGAUUGUGGGGUAAAACACUUUAACCAUCAGCUCUCAAAAUGAGAGCUCUGAAACACAAGCCUAGCUAACUCCGUAAAUGCUUUACCUGAGCCACCACUCAUACUCACAACACACACUCUAACAGGGAGAGAAAGAGAGCAUGCAUAUUUAACGAUGCAUUUACCUUGUAUUUUACCUCGUUUUGCGUACUGUAUGUAGGGGGACCAGUGGUUGGACAUGUGGGAAAGCCCUAGUGGUCUAGAAGUCUGUCUGUUUAGAAUAAUAGCUAUUUACUCUACAAACUGUAGUGCCCGUUMAUCUGCAUACAACAAAAUAAAAUGCUUCAUCAAAACAUUGA
Salvelinus sp. IW2-2015 is the source of this 4116-nucleotide non-coding RNA. The record is from RefSeq and is a predicted model, not a curated record. NCBI's taxonomy places the organism in Eukaryota, Metazoa, Chordata, Actinopteri, Salmoniformes, Salmonidae.